This is a long non-coding RNA of Dreissena polymorpha, 897 nucleotides long. RefSeq lists it as uncharacterized. Lineage: Eukaryota; Metazoa; Mollusca; Bivalvia; Myida; Dreissenidae. The transcript is spliced from 3 exons. The record is from RefSeq and is a predicted model, not a curated record.
GUUAAACUUGUUGUUAAAAUGAAGUUAAUGUAAUGUUCACAAACAGUAGAGUUAAUGAGUUUUUCCAUUAACAAGAAUUUCUUAAAAUAAUAAUGUAUGGAUAUCAUUUGGAAAGUGACAUGAAAUGUUGUUAAAAAGUGAUGCAUACAAGUGUUUCAGAAGUCUGUCUAGGAAUAGAACAACAACUGAAGCUGACCAGUUGAUGGAAGAUACUGCAGAGUUUGGCAGGGAAAUAACCCAAGACAGCAAAGCGGCUCUUUUGGCGCAUUUACCAAGAGGACUAACAUGGCCACAAAUUCAUGAGAUCAUGCAGGAGCCGUACAGUAUAACAGCAGUACAAGUUCUAUAAAAGAUCCACGACCUACUGAAGCCCAGCUAAUUAACAAAAAAGUUUUUAAAAACUGUAAUUUUAUCCCACCUGGGUACUUAUAAUUUACUAAGCUGCCUUCACAAGUUUUAGACUUGCAAUUAUAUUUUAAACUGUCACUUGGAAAGUAAUACAUGUACAUGCAUUAUGUUCUGAAUUUCUUUGAACAAUAAAAUUAUAUAAAAGUAUUUUAAUGAAAUUGAGCACCUAAAUUGCAUUAAAGUGAAAGUAGCUGAGAAAAAUAGUAUCCUUGUGCUCAUGGGCAGCUACAUAUAUUGUGACAAACAUGAAGUAGCUAAAAUAACUUAAAUUUUUCAUUUUGUUUCUUGUAUAUCGUUUGUACAGGGUUCGUGAAUUGUUACUGUAUAUUACUUGACUUGCUUGUAUUUUGUUACUUUGAAUACAUGUUGUUAAGGUUGCAUUAUACUUUUUAACUUUUAAAGUAGCGCCUGUUCUGUUAUGUAAGGGCCUGAUUUAUGAUAAUGGACCUAGAGGCUUUGUAAGCAUGUAUUAAACAACACUUGUUUGAU